CGUUGUGGACCCACCUGAUUCCAUGCCGAACUCAGAAGUGAAACGCAAUAGCGCCGAUGGUAGUGUGGGGUUUCCCCAUGUGAGAGUAGGACAUCGCCAGGC
Molecule: ribosomal RNA, 102 nt
Filed under: Vibrio coralliilyticus
Lineage: Bacteria; Pseudomonadati; Pseudomonadota; Gammaproteobacteria; Vibrionales; Vibrionaceae
Source: RNAcentral